UGUUAGUCUCGUUGGUGACCAGCGGAGGGAUCAUUACUGAGUUUACGCUCUACAACCCUUUGUGAACAUACCUAUAACUGUUGCUUCGGCGGGUAGGGUCUCCGUGACCCUCCCGGCCUCCCGCCCCCGGGCGGGUCGGCGCCCGCCGGAGGAUAACCAAACUCUGAUUUAACGACGUUUCUUCUGAGUGGUACAAGCAAAUAAUCAAAACUUUUAACAACGGAUCUCUUGGUUCUGGCAUCGAUGAAGAACGCAGCGAAAUGCGAUAAGUAAUGUGAAUUGCAGAAUUCAGUGAAUCAUCGAAUCUUUGAACGCACAUUGCGCCCGCCAGCAUUCUGGCGGGCAUGCCUGUUCGAGCGUCAUUUCAACCCUCAAGCUCUGCUUGGUGUUGGGGCCCUACAGCUGAUGUAGGCCCUCAAAGGUAGUGGCGGACCCUCCCGGAGCCUCCUUUGCGUAGUAACUUUACGUCUCGCACUGGGAUCCGGAGGGACUCUUGCCGUAAAACCCCCAAUUUUCCAAAGGUUGACCUCGGAUCAGGUAGGAAUACCCGCUGAACUUAAGCAUAUCAA
RNAcentral lists this ribosomal RNA (569 nucleotides) under fungal endophyte. RNAcentral's name for it is "eukaryotic LSU rRNA". The stretch from base 209 to 362 matches the Rfam family "5.8S ribosomal RNA". The record is from RNAcentral. Lineage: Eukaryota; Fungi.